AGACCCGAAACCCGGUGAUCUAGCCAUGGGCAGGUUGAAGGUUGGGUAACACUAACUGGAGGACCGAACCGACUAAUGUUGAAAAAUUAGCGGAUGACCUGUGGCUGGGGGUGAAAGGCCAAUCAAACCGGGAGAUAGCUGGUUCUCCCCGAAAGCUAUUUAGGUAGCGCCUCGUGAAUUCAUCUCCGGGGGUAGAGCACUGUUUCGGCUAGGGGGCCAUCCCGGCUUACCAACCCGAUGCAAACUGCGAAUACCGGAGAAUGUUAUCACGGGAGACACACGGCGGGUGCUAACGUCCGUCGUGAAGAGGGAAACAACCCAGACCGCCAGCUAAGGUCCCAAAGUCAUGGUUAAGUGGGAAACGAUGUGGGAAGGCCCAGACAGCCAGGAUGUUGGCUUAGAAGCAGCCAUCAUUUAAAGAAAGCGUAAUAGCUCACUGGUCGAGUCGGCCUGCGCGGAAGAUGUAACGGGGCUAAACCAUGCACCGAAGCUGCGGCAGCGAACGUAUCACCCAAGACAACUUUACGGAGUUGACGAUUGACGGAGCGAAGCGACGUCAAAGCGUUCAUUAAAGUCGAGUUGGCUUAGGGAUACGUUCGUUGGGUAGGGGAGCGUUCUGUAAGCCUG
This 627-nucleotide ribosomal RNA is filed under the name Salmonella enterica. RNAcentral's name for it is "partial 23S ribosomal RNA". It matches the Rfam family "Bacterial large subunit ribosomal RNA", at positions 711 to 1251 of the family's 2925-position model. RNAcentral also lists the same sequence under 5 other names. The record is from RNAcentral. Lineage: Bacteria; Pseudomonadati; Pseudomonadota; Gammaproteobacteria; Enterobacterales; Enterobacteriaceae.